This 510-nucleotide ribosomal RNA is filed under the name Triticum aestivum (bread wheat). RNAcentral's name for it is "partial small subunit ribosomal RNA". Lineage: Eukaryota; Viridiplantae; Streptophyta; Magnoliopsida; Poales; Poaceae. The record is from RNAcentral.
AUGCAGUUCCUCGCGGCUUCAGCCCCCUCGUCCACCGCGCCGCGGCUCCCCCAGCCCUCCGCCCGCCUCUCGAGGCCCCAUCCCUUCGCGCACCUCCGCCGCCGCUGCGCUCCCCACCUCCCAUCCAAGCCGCCGCCCCUGGCAUCCGUGUCUCCGGUCCUGCUCCCACGGGCACGGCGCUCCCUGGCUUGCACGCCCCGCGCUCACAGCAACCACCACGGGCACGGGCACCAUGGGCACGGGCACGGGCACUGCCAUUGCCACCACGGCUCGAACCUGCAUGGGGGAGGCGGGGGCGCGACGGUCAUGCGGUUGGCGAGGGCGAUCGGGUGGGCUGACGUCGCCGACGCGCUGCGGGGUCACCUGCAGGCCUGCCGCAUCUCCCUCGGUCUCCUCCUGAUCGCCGCCGCCUGCCCACACGUGGCGCCGCUCAACUCCGUCGGGCGUUUGCAGGCCGCGCUCAUCGCCGUCGCCUUCCCUCUUGUCGGGGUAAUGCACUCUCCCAGCUAA